CGGUGCAGUUAGGCCUCUUCCGACUCUUCUUCGUGAGAUUUGAAGACACGUCGCGAGAUCUCACCUGAAGCGGUCACGGGAUCCGCCUCGGAUUUGCGGUUUCAGUCGUUCCAACUUCCGGCGCAGAGGCCGGAAACGCGCCGUGAGGGACUGAGCAAAAAUAGCCUGUUGGGGCCGAACCGUAAGGGUGGUUGUCCAUUUGGCAUGACCGUUGGAACCCAGGCAAGAUGAUUGGUCAGAACUGCAGUGAUGAGUGCUGCUUAACUACAGAUUCUAGCCACUGGAGCACACCAACUAGUCUACCCACACAGCACAUUGCAAACCUGCAAAGAAAGAGGCGCUCCUGAUCAGGCGGAGCGGACCCUGUUCAGAGAAUGCCCGCCUGGGGCUGCAGAACUGUGAAAGACCUACAUGGCAAAAACGUAAAAUAUAUAUGAAAGAGGGCUGUUAGAGAAGCCACGAAGCGUCAGGAAUAAAGGGUGAGCUUAGGCAGCACAAAUGCAGACCAAUAGAUAUGGAUAGAAGCUUUUAAACUGAAUAAGAAUAAUUCAAGCUGGCUUCCCUUCUUUAAAACAGGAGGGUUUCUCUCUGGUCAUAGCUUAUGUCAAAAAACAAUUCCGUACCUACUUACUAAUAAAUCUGUAUAUAAUAAUAAAGAUAACCUUCCACUAUACAGGUAAAAGCUAUUUCAAAUGUUCAACCCUUUCUAACCUAAAACAGUGCUUUUAAAGAUUCAAAAAAGCACAGUAAUGUUAUCUAAAUAAUUUGACAUUUGCCAAAUAAAUUUA
Long non-coding RNA from Callorhinus ursinus (northern fur seal), 788 nucleotides. RefSeq lists it as uncharacterized. Lineage: Eukaryota; Metazoa; Chordata; Mammalia; Carnivora; Otariidae. The record is from RefSeq and is a predicted model, not a curated record.